This 455-nucleotide small RNA is filed under the name Pongo abelii (Sumatran orangutan). Its description in RNAcentral is "processed transcript". Lineage: Eukaryota; Metazoa; Chordata; Mammalia; Primates; Hominidae. The record is from RNAcentral.
UACACAGUGGUACAAGAUCAAGUUCGGAACAGCUACCAGCUCUGUAAUAAUGGUACUCUGAGGGUGAUGUAUGCUAAUGGGAUGGGUGUCAGCUUCCACAGCGAGCCCCAUGUCCUAGCAGGCACUAUCACCCCCACCAUUGGACGCUGCAACAUCUCCCUGCCUAUGGAGAAUGGCUUAAACUCCAUUGAGUGGCGCCUAAGAAAGGAACAGAUUAAAGGCAAAGUCACCAUCUUUGGCAGGAAGCUCCGGGUUUAAGAAUGAUGGUGGCCUUCCAUAGUUGUCCCAGAUGAACCAACCCAAUGUGACCAAGCUUCUGUUGGCAGAGGAGAUGAUCUAUCUUUCUGACCUCCACUGUGUGUUUUGCUCUGAAAAUGAUGGCUCCAAUCCCCAAUAAUUCAGACAGCAUUAACUUUUGGACCUGUUUUAAAAAAAAAAAAAAAUCCUACUACUCA